UACGGGGGGGGCAAGCGUUGUUCGGAAUUACUGGGCGUAAAGGGCUCGUAGGUGGCCAACUAAGUCAGACGUGAAAUCCCUCGGCUUAACCGGGGAACUGCGUCUGAUACUGGAUGGCUAGAGAUUGGGAGAGGGAUGCGGAAUUCCAGGUGUAGCGGUGAAAUGCGUAGAGAUGUGGAGGAACACCGAUGGCGAAGGCAGCCCCCUGGGUCAAGAUUGACGCUCAUGCACGAAAGCGUGGGGAGCAAACAGG
Molecule: ribosomal RNA, 253 nt
Filed under: uncultured bacterium
Lineage: Bacteria
Description: partial 16S ribosomal RNA
Rfam family: Bacterial small subunit ribosomal RNA
Source: RNAcentral